CCAAUAGCGUAUAUUAAAGUUGUUGCAGUUAAAAAGCUCGUAGUUGAAUUUCGGGGUUAGUAGGUUGGUCAUGCCUCUGGUAUGUACUGGUCUCACUGAUUCCUCCUUCCUGAUGAGCCGUAAUGCCAUUAAUUUGGUGUUGCGGGGAAUUUGGACUGUUACUUUGAAAAAAUUAGAGUGUUUAAAGCAAGCUAACGCUUGAAUACAUUAGCAUGGAAUAAUGAAAUAGGACGUUCGAUCCUAUUUUAUUGGUUUCUAGGAUUGACGUAAUGAUUAAUAGGGAUAGUUGGGGGCAUUAGUAUUCAAUUGUCAGAGGUGAAAUUCUUGGAUUUAUUGAAGACUAACUACUGCGAAAGCAUUUGCCAAGGAUGUUUUCAUUAAUCAAGAACGAAAGUUAGGGGAUCGAAGACGAUCAGAUACCGUCGUAGUCUUAACCAUAAACUAUGCCGACUAGGGAUCGGAUGAUGUUAAUUUUUUAAUGACUCAUUCGG
RNAcentral lists this ribosomal RNA (491 nucleotides) under uncultured Glomus. RNAcentral's name for it is "SSU rRNA". It matches the Rfam family "Eukaryotic small subunit ribosomal RNA", at positions 591 to 1083 of the family's 1831-position model. Lineage: Eukaryota; Fungi; Glomeromycota; Glomeromycetes; Glomerales; Glomeraceae. The record is from RNAcentral.